Molecule: ribosomal RNA, 253 nt
Filed under: uncultured bacterium
Lineage: Bacteria
Description: partial 16S ribosomal RNA
Rfam family: Bacterial small subunit ribosomal RNA
Source: RNAcentral
UACGAAGGGGGCUAGCGUUGCUCGGAAUUACUGGGCGUAAAGGGCGCGUAGGCGGAUCGGACAGUCAGAUGUGAAAUUCCUGGGCUUAACCUUGGGGCUGCGUUCGAGACGGGUUGUCUUGAGUGGGGAAGAGGGUCGUGGAAUUCCCAGUGUAGAGGUGAAAUUCGUAGAUAUUGGGAAGAACACCGGUGGCGAAGGCGGCGACCUGGUCCUUUACUGACGCUGAGGCGCGAAAGCGUGGGGAGCAAACAGG